CCCACCAUCUUUCCGCCAAACAGUUAACGAAACUGUAAUUCGCGAACAGUGCAACUCGCUUAAAAAACACACGCAACUCAAUGCUAUUCAAUGUUACCUGGACCUUCGCAACCGAAACAACAAUCCUCGAGAACCCCGGCUGACGUGUCAAAAGCGAUCUCUCGCUCGCUUGCUCGUUAUUACGCCGUUCAAACAAUCCACGAGACGCCAGCGAACGCCAACGGAUCUCCAGCGAUCAAGAAGUUUUAUCUCCUCUACAGUGGCUGUUCUCGCUUCUAUUGCAUCAUAGAAAUCGGUUAAUCGAGGAUGUACGAGUGAACUUCCACAAAAAAGCUACAAAUUACGACUAAAUUCUAGCAAACUGUACAAUUCUAGCAAACAGCAGACUCUUUAGGUCUACGUGACGAAAACUGCAGUAAUCGCGAAGUUAUUUACAUUAGAAGUGUUGUAAUGCGUCUUAAUAGCUGUAAACACGCCAUACUGAUAAAGCGUUCGUGAUUUCUAUUUAUGACGUAGUAUCAUACGAAUCAAAUAAAGUAUUUAAUGACAUAUUUUAUAACAAAAAAUCGAUACAAAUCUUCUGCAAUUUUAUAUGAUACCUAUAUAAUAUUUCUUUGCCUGGGCGAUUACAUUUAUCUCGAAUUUGGAAGUUAAACGAACGAAUAUGAACGAUACGCGAUAUUUGCUGAUUAAACGUAGAGGCAUCUAAACGCAAAUGCUUGACAAAUGGACGAUUUUUAUUUGCUCAUUAUCAUCUGGAUGCUGUAUGCAUACAAUUUAAACAUUCGUUUAUUGCUAUCUGUUUAAUCUUUGCUAAUACACGUAUUUCUGGAUUACAGCGGUAAUCGCGAAGAUUUGCUUUUUAUUAUUUCUUACUUUCAUUAGGAAGGUCAUACAAGCAAGAAUAAUUUUUUGCGAUGGUGAUACUUUAUCUUAAUCUUUGGUUUUCUGACGACACGUUUUAUAUUCUUCGAUCUUCAAUACGUUUAUAAAAUAACUAAGAAAAAGGAAGAAAACAUCUGUAUAUUAUUUACACUUAUAACAUUAAAUAUUCAGAAUUAUGAAAUUGAGAAGAUUC
This 1078-nucleotide unclassified non-coding RNA is filed under the name Bombus terrestris (buff-tailed bumblebee). RNAcentral's name for it is "misc RNA ENSBTSG00005028230.1". The record is from RNAcentral. Lineage: Eukaryota; Metazoa; Arthropoda; Insecta; Hymenoptera; Apidae.